This 1242-nucleotide ribosomal RNA is filed under the name Triticum aestivum (bread wheat). RNAcentral's name for it is "partial small subunit ribosomal RNA". Lineage: Eukaryota; Viridiplantae; Streptophyta; Magnoliopsida; Poales; Poaceae. The record is from RNAcentral.
AUGGGAAACAUCAUAGCUUCUUCGGCGCACCAGUACGCCCCCGAGACCGAGACGUGGUCACGAUGUUACACGGAGGGCACCACGGUGACGCACAACUUCGAGAUCGCCGGCUACUCGCUGCUCCAUGGCAUGGGCACCGGCAACUACGUCACGUCGAGCACGUUUACCGUCGGCGGCUGCGACAACUGCGAGUGGGACAUCAUGUUCUACCCCGACGGGGCCACCAAGGACGAGGGCGAAGAAGCUGACCACGCCUCCGCCUACCUCCGUCUCCGUCCCUGUAGCCGACAACCAUGGCCGACGGCCGUGAUGACCAAAUACACUCUGAGCUUAUGGGGCAAGGAUGGCCAAUUGUGUCAGCAACGGAGCACACGUCAUACGUUUACCCCUGGUGGUACGGGCUGGGGCCAUGUCCGCUUUGUCCCCAAGUCCAAGCUGCUGGCCCUCAAAGAUGACUGCUUCACCAUCACGUGUGUCUUGACGGUCUUGAAAGAGCGCCACAUGGAAGAAGUGAGCACGUUCAUCGUCCCGAUCCCAACGUCGAACUUUCACCAAGACUUUGGGAACAUGUUGAAGGACGGGGAAGGCACGGAUGUGACGUUCGUCGUGGGCGACCAAUCGUUCCAGGCUCAUAGAGCUCUGUUGGCCGCUCGGACGCCGUUCUUCAGGGCGGAGCUCUUCGGUCCGAUGAAAGAGAACAAGAUGCAGCGCAUCAACAUUGAUGACGUGGAGCCCUCUGUGUUCAAGGCGCUUCUUCACUUUAUAUACACAGAUGCCUUGCCGGAUAAUCACGAUGUCAGGAAGAACACGACACUGCAGCAUUUGAUGGUUGCCGCGGAUCGGUACGGGUUGGACAGGCUAGCCGCCAUGUGUGAAGGAGAGCUAUGCCGAGGCAUUGACGUGCAGACAGUUGCAACCACCCUAACUUUAGCGAAGCAGCAUUGUCGCGAGCGACUGAAAGACAUUUGCAUUGACUUUAUGUCUUCGCGGGAUGUGUUCGGUGAUGUCAAGAAGACCGAUGGAUUCAAGCACCUUGUGACAAGCUGUCCGGAGGUUAUAACAGAUAUUUUACAAGAAAAUUUGCCGUUGCCAGAGGUGGUGCGGACCAAUCCGCGGAGGACACCUGGGUGGCUCAAAAGGCAGCAGCGCUCAUCGCAGGUCCGCCGUGCAGUUCUCGUCUCCGCUUGCGUUUUGGUGCCGGCGGUGGUGGUCUCUUGUCGAGUGUACAUGAGGCGACACUAG